Long non-coding RNA from Lathyrus oleraceus (garden pea), 2467 nucleotides. RefSeq lists it as uncharacterized. The record is from RefSeq and is a predicted model, not a curated record. The transcript is spliced from 8 exons. Lineage: Eukaryota; Viridiplantae; Streptophyta; Magnoliopsida; Fabales; Fabaceae.
UACCAACAGUGUUACAGAUGGUAUCAAUCCAAGCUAGAUUCGACCAGCCAUUAAGGCUACUUCCACGUGGCGUUGGGUGGGAGAAAGAAACUCAAGAAAAAAAAACGUCGACAGUUACUGCAGAAGGACCUUAAAAGGCAUGUAUAUCUAAUAACUUCGUUAGUACAUAGAACCAAUCAAGAACCAAUUUGUAAUGAAGGGAAUUAAAAGAAAAUUAAAGAAAAUAAUGCAUAAUGACUAUUCACAUGUGAGAACUGGAAACAGUAAAGGAAAACAAAAAUCAAAACUUCAAAACACAACCUCAUUUGGGGCGAAACGUAUCGCCACCACACAAACUUAAUACCCAAAUCGAAAUAUUACCAAAUCAACUCGUUUCGAAGCUGUAGGUCGGAGUUGGGCGCCGCCGAAUCGAGUUAUAAUCGUGCUUCGUUGUCAGAGCGGAUCGUGGUCGCAAAUGCCGAUAAGCAAGGAAUUAUUAUUGAUGAGCGGAAAGCAUUUUCGUUUGGGAGUUUUCGGGAGUCUCACGGCGGGUUGGAGGUUGUGAAGGUGAUGGGGUAGUGACGGCGGAAUGUUUAUGAGGGGUUGUGUCGUUAGCGGUGGUGAGUGGCUGAUGGUCGAUUGAAGAAGAAAAAGGAGAUGGUGAUGGUUCUGUGUGUGGGAAGUAGAUCGGAGGGUUUGGACAGACGGGGUAUGGUUGAAGUGGGAUUUCGGCAGGGUAACGGUAUAUUUCUUUGACAAAUGCUUCGGGUUGGGGUCUAUAACUCAGCCUUUCUCAAACCCUGAUGAUAAGUUUGAGAGGCUUAUCCGUAAACGAGCUUUAGAGUUAGGUGGUGAGGGAGUAUUUUAGCAGAAUAACGUUAGGUUUCUUCUCCCUCCCUUUUUUCAGAAAUGGAUAUUCCUUAUAUAGAGCUCUGGAGUACCAAGUCUCUCACCUGUGAGCUGGCCAAAAUCCAAGAAUUUCCGUUAGAAUAAAAUCUCAUCUAGAUUUGGUGUGGUCCCUAAUUCGAUGCAGGUGGCAAGGCAAGUUUGUUGGUAGUGAAAUCUCUCCAUGAUGCGUGGCCCCUUUCUUGAAUUUCUCUUGGAUUAUUACUGCUGUAAGACAGGUGUUCUUCUGAUUUUUGUUGACGUGAGGAUUUAAUAUAUUUAGGUUUGGAUUGCUGCAUUGAUUCUUGCUGCUUGGAGGGUGUACCUGCUUCAAGUUUCACCUUGAAUAACAGUGCAGUUUUGGUUUGUUUUGGAUGUUUCAUGUGAAACAAUCACCUAACUGAUGAAGAAUGCAACAAUGAUUACGACUUGCUUGAAAUCAGAUCUAACCGUGAAAACUGGAUAUGAUUGUGGACAUUGAGGUAAAUGCCAGAGCAUGACUGGUGAAGAGGGUGUGUCAACUCGGGUGUAGCUGGCCUAAAUCAGUUCUGAUUACUUUGGCUUUUUGGUGUAAUAAGGUUCAGUUUCUUUUACCUGCAUUUAUGUACUAUUUAGUGACUGUUUGCUUCGGUGAUGUAGAGUCAAUUCUUCUUUCUUUUGGUGCCGGACAGAACAGGGUAUCUUGACUGGCUUGUGGGUCUAAUUCCUCGAAACAAAACCGCGGGGCAUGCUGUUGGCUUGUGGACUUCACUUCAGGUUUUUAGGUUGCUUAAGAUUUGUACUGACUUGUGUGACUCGUGCUGGCACAAUACUACUUGAGGCCUCUUUUCAACCAAAAUUUCCGCCUUUAGGAAAUAACCGUACCCUCCAGUCAAAGGAAAUGACAAGGAAAUGAUGGUGUAGUAGAUGAAACAGAUUUUUGCUGAGAUGGACUUCGUGAUUGACCUUAGGUGUGGUUUUGUAUGUGUUAUCAUGAUGCUUAGGACACGGGAUUUACAUUGUGGAAUGCCAUGGCAUGCUGCAAGUAUAAUGCACUUGGCUUGGAUGAUGAUGCAGGCUGGAGACUAUUGAAGAUGUCCCUUGUGGUAAGAGUUGCUUUGGCUGGUUUAGAUCAAUUUAUCACCAAAAAUGCCGCUUUGACAAAUGCGAAAGAAGUCGAUGCACACCCUAUUCGUGUUAUGAAGUUUUCCGUUGCCUGCUGUGCGUGCUGCUGUUUUUUUUAAUUGUGCAAGUGGCAGUAUGCGUGCGGCUCGUAACCUUUGGGAGAAAAUAGCACAAGGAGUUUGUUGCGGUCAAUAUACCCGCUGUUUCCGGCUUGACAUGAAGUUAUGUAUUUGGAUCAUAGGCUAGGAUUUUCCCUUUGGCAAUUUGCAAACAGUUGUAACUCUUAUUUGUAACACAUAAACGUAUGGACGUGUAUGUAUUAUUCUUCAAAUUUGUGCAUUCCUAUAUGCUUGAAUUUUAGCAGUAAACAUGAUGUUCAUUGUGGGUAAACACGCCUGAGCUGGCUUUGUAGAUAUAGUAUGAACGAGAUCUGUGUAUUGGUUCACAAAGGUUCCUGGAAUGUAAUUUUGGCUUUUGAAAUGAACAUGGUUUAUAUUAA